UAAUCCUACGGGAGGCAGCAGUAGGGAAUCUUCCACAAUGGACGAAAGUCUGAUGGAGCAACGCCGCGUGAGUGAAGAAGGGUUUCGGCUCGUAAAGCUCUGUUGGUAGUGAAGAAAGGUAGAGGGAGGAACUGGCCUUUAUUUGACGGUAAAUACUUAGAAAGUCACGGCGAACUAAGUGCCAGCAGCCGCGGGAAUACGUAGGUGGGAAGCGGUGUCCGGAUUUAUUGGGCGUAAAGCGGGUGCAGGCGGGUG
RNAcentral lists this ribosomal RNA (255 nucleotides) under uncultured bacterium. RNAcentral describes it as "partial 16S ribosomal RNA". It matches the Rfam family "Bacterial small subunit ribosomal RNA", at positions 334 to 581 of the family's 1533-position model. The record is from RNAcentral.